Patella vulgata (common limpet) is the source of this 1108-nucleotide long non-coding RNA. RefSeq lists it as uncharacterized. The transcript is spliced from 2 exons. NCBI's taxonomy places the organism in Eukaryota, Metazoa, Mollusca, Gastropoda, Patellidae. The record is from RefSeq and is a predicted model, not a curated record.
CAAAAGAUGCGGAAACCGUUAUGUUUUAUCUCUAGACAUCUGUUUACUUAUACACAUUCACUUGUAAAAGAGUUUUGGGAGACCAUUGAUUUACUUACAGAAGAGUUUGGUGAGAAUAUAGAUUUACUGACAGAAGAAGGUUUGAAAUGUUGGAGAUGUUCCACGCCCGCUUCACAGUCUCCAGGACAAUGAAACAAGAAUCACGUACUGUUACUCAACAAGUUGCUUUUGUGUUACUAAAUUUGGUAAUUCUUAGAAAAUGAAAAACAAAGAGAAAACAGCAUUUAAUAAAAGAAAUGACUUCCUGGUUUUUGCCGAUUAUAUAGUUUAUUAUAGUAUAUUCCUAUUGUGAAUUCUGCGUCAACGACAAUGGAAAUAUCAACCCAGUACACUUGACAAAUUAUAACACUUUUUUUUAUUUAUUUUUUUUAAUAACACCUCGGGAUAAAACAUUAACCAGUCACACAGACCAUAUUAAGAAGAUAUAGCCCGGGUUUCCGAAACAGUGGAAGAAAUAGUUUUAAAAAUUUGUUCCAAAAUGAAACAAAAAAUCUUAGAAGAAGAAUUGACGCUUUUUGAGGUCUUUGUCGAUUGGUAAAUAAGAGAGCCUUUUUUUUUUUUUUUUAAUAAAAUGUGAUUUGACUAUAGCAGUUACGUCCAGGAUUUUCAAAUUCACAUUCUCAACAAUAUUAAGAUAAAUUGUUCACCAUGGCCCAGUAAAAUAUUUUCAUUUUUUAAUUAACAAGUCUAUUUUCAUUUUUAAAUGGUUUUCUAGAAGUUAAAUGAACGCUUACGAAAAUAAAUCCAUUGCUAUGAGCGGGUGAACUAUGUUGGGAUUUUCAAUACUUCGGUGGGUGUGGGUUAUUUUGAACAUUUUCGUGAAGAGAGAGUAAUGGUGCCUCUUCUAAAUAUUCAAAUAAAGUUAUGAAUGGUAUUCUUAAAGUGAACUGAUCAACAGUGACUAUUCGCCUGACCGCUACUACCACUGAUAACGAUGACAUCGGGGCAAGUUAAUUGACUCACAAUUUUAACUUUUUUUCUUCUGCAAAUUGACAUUCUAAAAUAUUUGUUUCAAUUAUUAAGAAAAAUAAUAAAGGCGUUGAAAGUA